Molecule: RNA transcript, 1733 nt
Organism: Fundulus heteroclitus (mummichog)
Lineage: Eukaryota; Metazoa; Chordata; Actinopteri; Cyprinodontiformes; Fundulidae
Exons: 4
Source: RefSeq, a predicted model, not a curated record
UCACCCUAAGUAGGGUUAGGCGAUUUGGCCCCUUUUACCCAAAUAUCACAUCUUAAAUCCGAUGGAUUGUCAAGCAUUGCAGCAAAAUAUCAGGGAGAGCGGAUUUUGACAUUUUGGUGUAGGAUUAGGCUGGAUGUGAAGUCUAUGGAGGUUGGCGCUCCAUGGUCCAUGGGUGUGUGUGUGUGUGUGCGCUGGUGCCCGGGCUUGGUUGCUGGUAGCAGGGGUGGGUGCAGGGUCUGAUGUGGAGACUCAGUGUUUCCCCUGGUUCUCAGGAGGCUUUACUUGGUACACCUGCAGCCACUUGCUGCACUCUUGAUUGCAUGAGCAGAAGGCAGCUGUGGGUACCUAACAUGCCAAUCAACGAAUGACUGAGGAGCAGUACUUAACAGCCCAGGACCGGAGCGGACUUCUUUCCCCUCCACUGUUCACACGAUUCUCAUAUCAACAUGGCGCCCCCAAAGCAUAGUGUUUGUUGCCCACUCUGCCGUUCUGAAUUUACCUAUAUAGGCAGGCACCUAAGAAAUAGUCAUGGCAUUAAAAAUUCAAAAGAGCGAGAAAUAUUGAUCAAGUACAGUAGUGGGAGGGUCAAUAUUAGAAAAAUGCCCUGUCCAGUGGAGGGCUGCAGUUAUGCUAGCACAAGGCUGGACAGGCAUAUUGCUCAAGCUCACCCGGAGAUGGAGGGGGAGAGGAAAGCCCAGGUGAUAACCGAUUUGAAGUACCAGGUAACGGUGCACAUGCUGCGAGCGUUGAGCGCCACAAACCCGAGCCCUCCGAUGGUCUCACGCUUACACAUGGACCCAAUAGCAAGAGAGGAAGCAAAUCGGUAUCAUCCAACAUCAGAACCCCUUGAUGACGAACCAUCGCCUUCAUCCUGCAACUCGUGCAAACAGCUUGAGGCAAAGAACCUGCAGCUUAUAUCCGACUUGGGGCAACUAAGAAAGAAAUUGCUGUACCAGCACAGAUGGGCUGAAAGGGCAAAAAAAACAAUCAAACGACUGGAAGAGGUAUGUAAAAUGUUUAUUACCUAGCAGCACCUUUACCCAGGACCAGAGCACAUGUGCUGGGCAGGAUAGCUCCAUAGCUUAGGCCUGGUUGUACCGGCAGAACCAGCGGGUAGAUGCGGAUGACUUUUACCCAGGAUCAGAGCACAUGUGCUGGGCAGGAUAGCUCCAUAGCUUAGGCCUGGUUGUACCGGCAGAACCAGCGGGUAGAUGCGGAUGACUUUUACCCAGGAUCAGAGCACAUGUGCUGGGCAGGAUAGCUCCAUAGCUUAGGCCUGGUUGUACCGGCAGAACCAGAAAACUUAGCACUAAACCUUUAUUUAACAGGACCGCCAAAAGGCAUCCACAGCCCCGGUUCCAAGUGUGGACGUUGAUGCUCUGGUGAGGAGUGAAUCUUUCUCUCCUGAUGAAGAACAGCAGCACAUCAACAGACCUAAGUCAAAGGGGGAAAGCCGGAGCACCCUCUGUUUGGCGAAAGCGUACCCCAAAUUCCCACCAAGCAUCUUGGAAUACAUCGCGGAAUAUUGGCAGCAUCUCAAAGGCUCUCGUGGUCUGAGGAAAAGGAUCGAAAAUCAAAGAUCCAAAGUGGGUAGAAUCAUGGCUUUCCUUUCGUUUAUAACCAAGGGACAGCCAAUCCUCCAGAAUUGGACUUUCCUUCACAAUAUGUCCAGGAUAUACCAGUGGCCAGAGCAUCUGCAGAAUGGUGGAAAAGCGGAGAACACAGUGAAGACC